This 253-nucleotide ribosomal RNA is filed under the name uncultured bacterium. RNAcentral's name for it is "partial 16S ribosomal RNA". It matches the Rfam family "Bacterial small subunit ribosomal RNA", at positions 524 to 776 of the family's 1533-position model. The record is from RNAcentral.
UACGGGGGGGGCAAGCGUUGUUCGGAAUUACUGGGCGUAAAGGGCUCGUAGGCGGCCAACUAAGUCAGACGUGAAAUCCCCAGGCUCAACCUGGGAACUGCGUCUGAUACUGGAUGGCUUGAAUCCGGGAGGGGGAUGCAGAAUUCCAGGUGUAGCGGUGAAAUGCGUAGAUAUCUGGAGGAAUACCGGUGGCGAAGGCGGCAUCCUGGACCGGCAUUGACGCUGAGGAGCGAAAGCCAGGGGAGCAAACGGG